CUACGUGCCAGCAGCCGCGGUAAUACGGGGGGUGCGAGCGUUAAUCGGAAUAACUGGGCGUAAAGGGCACGCAGGCGGUGACUUAAGUGAGAUGUGAAAGCCCCGAGCUUAACUUGGGAAUUGCAUUUCAUACUGGGUCGCUAGAGUACUUUAGGGAGGGGUGGAAUUCCACGUGUAGCGGUGAAAUGCGUAGAGAUGUGGAGGAAUACCGAAGGCGAAGGCAGCCCCUUGGGAAUGUACUGACGCUCAUGUGCGAAAGCGUGGGGAGCAAACAGGAUUAGAUACCCUGGUAGUCCACGCUGUAAACGAUGUCGAUUUGGGGAUUGGGCUUUGAGCUUGGUGCCCGUAGCUAACGUGAUAAAUCGACCGCCUGGGGAGUACGGCCGCAAGGUUAAAACUCAAAUGAAUUGACGGGGGCCCGCACAAGCGGUGGAGCAUGUGGUUUAAUUCGAUGCAACGCGAAGAACCUUACCUACUCUUGACAUCCAUGGAAUCUUGUAGAGAUACGAGAGUGCUUCGGGA
This 522-nucleotide ribosomal RNA is filed under the name uncultured bacterium. RNAcentral's name for it is "bacterial SSU rRNA". It matches the Rfam family "Bacterial small subunit ribosomal RNA", at positions 501 to 1023 of the family's 1533-position model. The record is from RNAcentral.